UGAUGCUCCAACGCUACCUCGUGCAGCUCAUGUGCCAAAUGCUGUCGCUCUUGAGUGAACUGAGACUGAAGCUGCUGCAGAGCACCGUUUGACUGCGAGAGCUGCAGCUCCAGACUUUGCUUCAGAAAAAGGGGCAAAGUCAGGAAGACUAUCUGCUGCCACGUUAUAUUGUAAUCCACUGGACCCCUGAUGCAUCAAUGCCAAGCAAGAAGUAUUUCCUUACUACAGGUUGCUGGAAACCUGGAACUUAUCCCAGGGAACUCAGGGCAUCCUGGAAGAGGUGCCAACUGAUUGAAAGGACAAUUUAGAGAUAACAAUCAGCCUAAAACGCACAACUUUUGAUUGGAGGAGGAAACCGGAGAACCUGGAGGAAAUCCCAAAAGCAUUUUGAGAACAUAA
Molecule: long non-coding RNA, 399 nt
Organism: Tachysurus fulvidraco (yellow catfish)
Lineage: Eukaryota; Metazoa; Chordata; Actinopteri; Siluriformes; Bagridae
Exons: 3
Source: RefSeq, a predicted model, not a curated record